GUGUCAGCAGCCGCGGUAAUACGGAGGGAGCUAGCGUUGUUCGGAAUUACUGGGCGUAAAGCGCGCGUAGGCGGUUUAUCAAGUCAGAGGUGAAAUCCCGGGGCUCAACCCCGGAACUGCCUUUGAAACUAGUAAACUAGAAUCUUGGAGAGGUCAGUGGAAUUCCGAGUGUAGAGGUGAAAUUCGUAGAUAUUCGGAAGAACACCAGUGGCGAAGGCGACUGACUGGACAAGUAUUGACGCUGAGGUGCGAAAGCGUGGGGAGCAAACAGGAUUAGAUACCCGCGUAGUCC
This 292-nucleotide ribosomal RNA is filed under the name uncultured bacterium. Its description in RNAcentral is "partial 16S ribosomal RNA". It matches the Rfam family "Bacterial small subunit ribosomal RNA", at positions 505 to 796 of the family's 1533-position model. The record is from RNAcentral.